UUCCGGUUGAUCCCGCCGGACCUGACUGCUAUCGGAUUGAUACUAAGCCAUGCGAGUCUUUGUAGUAAUACAAGGCAGACGGCUCAGUAACACGUAGUCAACCUACCCUAUGGACGAGAAUAAUCUCGGGAAACUGAGCAUAAUUCUCGAUAGAUCAUAAUGCCUGGAAUGGUUUAUGGUUAAAAUGAUUCGUCGCCAUAGGAUGGGACUGCGGCCUAUCAGCUUGUUGGUGAGGUAAUGGCCCACCAAGGCGAUUACAGGUACGGGCUCUGAGAGGAGAAGCCCGGAGAUGGGUACUGAGACAAGGACCCAGGCCCUAUGGGGCGCAGCAGGCGAGAAAACUUUGCAAUGUGCGAAAGCACGACAAGGUUAAUCCGAGUGAUUUCUGCUAAAGAAAUCUUUUGCAAGUCAUAAAACCACUAGUGAAUAAGGGGUGGGCAAGUUCUGGUGUCAGCCGCCGCGGUAAAACCAGCACCUCAAGUGGUCAGGAGGAUUAUUGGGCCUAAAGCAUCCGUAGCCGGCUCUGUAAGUUUUCGGUUAAAUCUAUGCGCUCAACGUAUGGGCUGCCGAAAAUACUGUAGAGAUAGGGAGUGGGAGAGGUAGACGGUACUCGGUAGGAAGGGGUAAAAUCCUUUGAUCUAUCGAUGACCACCUGUGGCGAAGGCGGUCUACCAGAACACGUUCGACGGUGAGGGAUGAAAGCUGGGGGAGCAAACCGGAUUAGAUACCCGGGUAGUCCCAGCUGUAAACGAUGCAGACUCGAUGAUGCAUUGGCAUAUAGCCAGUGCAGUGUCGCAGGGAAGCCGUUAAGUCUGCCGCCUGGGAAGUACGUACGCAAGUAUGAAACUUAAAGGAAUUGGCGGGGGAGCACCACAAGGGGUGAAGCCUGCGGUUCAAUUGGAUUCAACGCCGG
This 913-nucleotide ribosomal RNA is filed under the name uncultured marine archaeon. RNAcentral's name for it is "bacterial SSU rRNA". It matches the Rfam family "Archaeal small subunit ribosomal RNA", at positions 1 to 921 of the family's 1478-position model. The record is from RNAcentral.